GACGGAGGAUGCAAGGGUUAUCCGGAAUCACUGGGCGUAAAGCGUCUGUAGGUGGUCAAAUAAGUCAACUGUUAAAUCUUGAGGCUCAACCUCAAAACCGCAGUCGAAACUAUUAGACUAGAGUAUAGUAGGGGUAAAGGGAAUUUCCAGUGGAGCGGUGAAAUGCGUAGAGAUUGGAAAGAACACCGAUGGCGAAGGCACUUUACUGGGCUAUGACUAACACUCAGAGACGAAAGCUAGGGUAGCAAAUGGG
Molecule: ribosomal RNA, 253 nt
Filed under: uncultured bacterium
Lineage: Bacteria
Description: partial 16S ribosomal RNA
Rfam family: Bacterial small subunit ribosomal RNA
Source: RNAcentral